This is a non-coding RNA of Rattus norvegicus (Norway rat), 69 nucleotides long. The record is from Rfam. NCBI's taxonomy places the organism in Eukaryota, Metazoa, Chordata, Mammalia, Rodentia, Muridae.
GGGGAUUUAGCUUAGUGGUAGAGCACUUGCCUAGUAAGCGCAAGGCCCUGGGUUCGGUCCCCAGCUCCG